UGAACAUAACUGAAAAAUGUGUUCAUGAGCUUAAUCCCAGAACAGAUAUAGCACAGGGAGUGACAGUGCAAACUUCUCCAGAUGGUCCAAACCACUGUGCCUCAACACUAUCCUGGGGAGACCAUUUCUAGAUGUGAGAUGAUAGCCCACAUUCCAUACCCACUCUCUGACCUUUCUAUU
Molecule: small RNA, 180 nt
Filed under: Chelonoidis abingdonii (Abingdon island giant tortoise)
Lineage: Eukaryota; Metazoa; Chordata; Testudines; Testudinidae
Description: TUC338 (ENSCABG00000001026.1)
Source: RNAcentral